RNAcentral lists this long non-coding RNA (218 nucleotides) under Gallus gallus (chicken). The record is from RNAcentral. Lineage: Eukaryota; Metazoa; Chordata; Aves; Galliformes; Phasianidae.
ACCGCGGUGGAACAGCGCUGCCGCUCCUUCGCUGCCUCCCGUGCCGGGUACUCUUACGGCUCCACAUACUACGCUUCAGCCAAAAUGGAGACGAAGCAACUCAAGCCUGGACGAGACAUGAAUCAGAGCGAUCAGGAGACCCAACAUUUCACUCCAGAAAUUCUAAAGCUGAUGAGAAGCAGUUUUCGUUGAGUCAGCUGUCUGCAGAAGCUGUGUCU